CUUCACAACUGCACAUAUACUAAAAUUGUAAAGAUGCAAAGAAGAUUAUCAUGGCUUCUGCACAAGAAUGAGAAGCAAAUUCCUGAAGCAUUCUGUACUUUU
Small nuclear RNA from Protopterus annectens (West African lungfish), 102 nucleotides. Lineage: Eukaryota; Metazoa; Chordata; Ceratodontiformes; Protopteridae. The record is from RefSeq and is a predicted model, not a curated record.